GAUAAGGAGACAGCUAUCAUGACAGCUAUUAUCUAAUCUAUGGGGAGAUAGCUUUGAUUUCGUGGGAAUUACCGAGGCGGAGUGUCACAAAUGUGAAGUGCGUUAUAAUUGAUUACUAAGUUACGUGCCUCUUUUUCGAUAGUUUUCAGGUAUUAAAAGGUCCCUUGGUAUUAACAUAAUAAUUAUGCCAUACCCAGGAGCUGCUUUUGCUAUUGCAGUUGGAGUAGCUUUAGGAGCAGCUGUUUAUUACUAUUUUUUCAAUGAUGAGGAACAGCGACAACAACAUAGACAGAACACUUAUGGUAGAUCUAGACAAUACACUUAUGAUAUACCCAGAGCUACACAGAACACCUAUGAUAGAUCUACACAGAAGACCUACGAUAAAUCUACACAGAAAACCUAUGAUAAAUCUACACAGAACACGUAUGAUAGAUCUACACAAAACACCUAUAAUAGAUCUACACAGACCACAUACGAUAGACCUAGGCAAAGUACUUAUGAGAGUUCUCGGCAGAAUACUAAUGAUAAACUAAUUAAGACUGAACUGACUCGAGAAAAGAAAGAUAAUUGCUGCACAAUCUGCUCACAAUUAAUGACUAGAGGAGUAAGGAAAUUAUCUUGUGGCCAUGCUUUUCAUUCUAGAUGUGUUACUAAAUGGAUAAAUGACCAUAAAAGUUGUCCAAGUUGCAGAAGUUAUCAAUCUAAUGUUGAGAAGCCAAAACAACAUAAGCAGAACUCUUAUGGUAGACCAAAUCGUUCUGAAUUUGAAAAAAAAGAGAAAGAAAAAUGCACUAUCUGUUUGGAAGAAAUGAUUGGAUGUAUAAUAAAAUUACCUUGUGGUCAUAUUUUUCAUAACAGAUGUUUUACUAAGUGGAUAAAUACCAAUAACAGUUGUCCAAAUUGCAGAAGUUAUCAGUCUGCAUAAUUCAAUAUAAAAUUGCCAGUGACAUGAUUCAGAAUAACAAACAUUUCACUUACUCUAAUGAUGUGAUAUCUUCUACAAGUACUAAAAACAUUGUUAUUCAUUGUAAUAAUAUUUAGAUUUAAAAUGUGCCUUCUAGAUUUGUAUUUAUAGUUGUUUUUAAAUUAAAUUAAUGAAUAAGCAAAAAUGGCGUAUGUAUGUGCAAAUUAUUAAACUAAAACAAAAGUUGGGUUCUGGAAAGAAGAAAUCCUAAUAGUAUUGACAUUCACUUAACUAUAUAAUAGCAGACAGAAGUUCAAAAAAGCUAUAACGACAUUUUAUAAUGAGAUUAUUUUUAAAUGAUAUUAAAUAAGUAAUGCCUUUGAAUUAGUUUUUUC
RNAcentral lists this long non-coding RNA (1299 nucleotides) under Agrilus planipennis (emerald ash borer). Its description in RNAcentral is "uncharacterized LOC108738395, transcript variant X1". The record is from RNAcentral. Lineage: Eukaryota; Metazoa; Arthropoda; Insecta; Coleoptera; Buprestidae.